CAGCAGCCGCGGUAAUACGAAGGGUGCAAGCGUUACUCGGAAUUACUGGGCGUAAAGCGUGCGUAGGUGGUUGUUUAAGUCUGCUGUGAAAGCCCUGGGCUCAACCUGGGAAUUGCAGUGGAUACUGGGAGACUAGAGUAAGGUAGAGGAUAGUGGAAUUUCCGGUGUAGCAGUGAAAUGCGUAGAGAUCGGAAGGAACAUCUGUGGCGAAGGCGACUAUCUGGGCCAUUACUGACACUGAGGCACGAAAGCGUGGGGAGCAAACAGGAUUAGAUACCCCUGUAGUCCCUGUCUCUUAUAC
RNAcentral lists this ribosomal RNA (301 nucleotides) under uncultured bacterium. RNAcentral describes it as "partial 16S ribosomal RNA". It matches the Rfam family "Bacterial small subunit ribosomal RNA", at positions 509 to 807 of the family's 1533-position model. The record is from RNAcentral.